Molecule: ribosomal RNA, 497 nt
Filed under: uncultured bacterium
Lineage: Bacteria
Description: partial 16S ribosomal RNA
Rfam family: Bacterial small subunit ribosomal RNA
Source: RNAcentral
GAUGAACGCUGGCGGCGUGCCUAAUACAUGCAAGUCGAGCGAACGGACGAGAAGCUUGCUUCUCUGAUGUUAGCGGCGGACGGGUGAGUAACACGUGGAUAACCUACCUAUAAGACUGGGAUAACUUCGGGAAACCGGAGCUAAUACCGGAUGAUAUUUUGAACCGCAUGGUUCAAAAGUGAAAGACGGUCUUGCUGUCACUUAUAGAUGGAUCCGCGCUGCAUUAGCUAGUUGGUAAGGUAACGGCUUACCAAGGCAACGAUGCAUAGCCGACCUGAGAGGGUGAUAGGCCACACUGGAACUGAGACACGGUCCAGACGACUACGGGAGGCAGCAGUAGGGAAUCGUCCGCAAUGGGCGAAAGCAUGACGGAGCAACGCCGCGUGAGUGAUGAAGGUCUUCGGAUCGUAAAACUCUGUUAUUAGGGAAGAACAUAUGUGUAAGUAACUGUGCACAGCUUGACGGUACCUAAUCAGAAAGCCACGGCUAACUACGUG